Molecule: ribosomal RNA, 889 nt
Filed under: uncultured bacterium
Lineage: Bacteria
Description: bacterial SSU rRNA
Rfam family: Bacterial small subunit ribosomal RNA
Source: RNAcentral
AGAGUUUGAUCAUGGCUCAGGAUGAACGCUGGCGGCGUGCUUAACACAUGCAAGUCGAACGUGAGGAUGCAGCAAUGUAUCUGAAAGUGGCGGACGGGUGAGUAACACGUGGGUGACCUGCCUUGUAGUGGGGGAUAACCAUGGGAAACUGUGGCUAAUACCGCAUGUCUUGAUGGGAGUGGAUUCCAUCAGGUAAAGCUUUAGUGCUACGAGAGGGGCCUGCGGUCGAUUAGGUAGUUGGUGAGGUAACGGCUCACCAAGCCGAUGAUCGAUAGCUGGUCUGAGAGGACGAUCAGCCACACGGGAACUGAGAGACGGUCCCGACUCCUACGGGGGGCAGCAGUGAGGAAUAUUGGGCAAUGGGCGCAAGCCUGACCCAGCAACGCCGCGUGAAGGAUGAAGGCCCUUGGGUUGUAAACUUCUUUUGCAGGGGAAGAGAGCGGACGGUACCCUGAGAAUAAGUCACGGCUAACUACGUGCCAGCAGCCGCGGUAAUACGUAGGUGACAAGCGUUAUCCGGAAUUACUGGGCGUAAAGCGCACGCAGGCGGCCGAGAAAGUCUGACGUGAAAUCUCCCGGCUUAACCGGGAGCGGUCGUUGGAAACUACUUGGCUUGAGGCGAUGAGAGGGGUGUGGAAUUCCCGGUGUAGUGGUGGAAUGCGUAGAUAUCGGGAGGAACAUCAGUGGCGAAAGCGGCACCCUGGCAUUAGCCUGACGCUCAGGUGCGAAAGCGUGGGGAGCGAACGGGAUUAGAUACCCCGGUAGUCCACGCCGUAAACGAUGAACACUAGGUGUGGGUGGUCUCAAAAUCAUCUGUGCCGAAGUAAACGCGAUAAGUGUUCCGCCUGGGGAGUACGGCCGCAAGGCUAAAACUCAAAGGAAUUGACGG